Molecule: long non-coding RNA, 214 nt
Filed under: Nicotiana benthamiana
Lineage: Eukaryota; Viridiplantae; Streptophyta; Magnoliopsida; Solanales; Solanaceae
Description: long non-coding RNA (NBEN_LNC030549)
Source: RNAcentral
UCGCUAAUUCCGGGCAUUAUCCGGGUCACGCUUCAAGAGAUAAGUAUCGAUUUUAUGUUCGAUUAAAAUCUAUAAUUAUGUGUUGUCUAUAUUACAUAAAAGUGAUCCUAACUAUUUACUUCCGCUAUUCCUUUCUUUGUUACAAUUGAAUUGAUGAUUGGUUUAAUUUAGUUGUAUAGUGGAACGUUUCUGGUCAAUUAUGCAAACAAUGGGU